AUGCCGCGCGUUUUCGUGGAAUCGGUCGAACACUUGGCCAAUGCCCCCGCAGUUGGGGGCCCGCCGGCGCCCCCGCCGCAGCCUUCAGCCUCACCGCCGCCGCAGGCACGGCCAUCGCCUCCGCCACCCACACCGCCACCUAAGUCCCCGCCCCCGUCCUCUCCACCUCCUGCGUCUUCCGGCAACAAUCAGAGUCCGAAUUUGCCUCCGGGGUCGCCUCCGCCGGAGAAGUCUCCUGCAUCGUCCCCACCUCCUCCGGCUUCGCCUCCGCCCUCAACUCCGCCGGCAAGCCGGUCACCACCACCGUCUUCUCCCCCGCCAUCGCCGCCUUCGCAACAAUCUUCGCCGCCACCAGCGCAAUCGACGCCACCGUCGCCUGGUGUAUCAACUCGGCCAUCGCCAGGGGCAACGACAUCCCCGUCGCAGCAAUCACCUCCGAAAGCGACGACCUCACCACCGGCGUCGCCAUCACCAUCUCAACCAAAGAACCCCGCACCAGCCACCCCAACCCCUUCACCUCCCCUGAAUGCGGAGUCGGCCACGAAACCUCCCACCGGUGCAGGAACAUCACCCCCACCGCUUGAAACGCCUGGGACGCCCACGUCGGUACCGGCCGCAGCAGGUCAGGUGCCGGCAGCUCCCGGAACACCUUCAUCUUCCUCACUGUUGCCGCCUUCGGGCAUUAUGCCGGCCUCCGGGCGUCCUCCUGGCUCGUGGCAGAGCCCUCCCGGUCCGGCCGCCGCGAGGGCGAGCCCACCGUCCCUGGCACCUCCGGCGAGAGCCUUGGGUGAGAACCUGCCGAUCGGGGUGAUAGUUGGGGUCGCCGUGGCUGGGUUCCUCAUGGCAUUGGCGUCGCUUUUCAUGGUGGCGUGCCUCAGCGACUGGGGGAAGAAGCGGCGUCCACCCAUGCGCAAGAGAAGAACCAUGGUCGUGCUGGCACCUGCGCCGGACUCGUACCCUCCGUCCAACGGGCCGGUAGCGCCGCCGAGCGACACGAACUCGUACGAGUUCACCGGGUACAAAUCGUGCUUCACGUACGGCGAGCUGGUGGGGAUCACGGGCGGGUUCUCGUCGGCGAACAUGAUCGGCGAAGGUGGGUUCGGGAAGGUGUACAUGGGCGCGCUGGGCGACGGGCGGCGCGUGGCGGUGAAGCAGCUCAAGGUUGGAGGCGGGCAGGGGGAGAAGGAGUUCCGCGCCGAGGUGGACAUCAUCAGCCGCAUCCACCACCGCCACCUGGUGACGCUGGUCGGGUACUGCGUCACCGAGAACCACCGCCUCCUCGUCUACGAGUUCGUCUCCAACAACACGCUCCAGCACCACCUGCACGGAGAAGGGCUUCCGGUGAUGGACUGGCCGAAGCGGAUGAAGAUUGCGAUCGGAUCAGCCCGUGGAUUGACCUACUUGCACGAAGACUGCCAUCCUAGGAUCAUACAUCGGGAUAUCAAGUCAGCCAACAUUCUCCUGGACAACGCCUUCGAGGCAAAGGUUGCAGAUUUCGGUCUCGCUAAGCUAACCAACGAUUCUAUGACUCAUGUCUCCACGCGCGUCAUGGGCACAUUCGGGUACAUGGCGCCAGAGUACGCAUCAAGCGGGAAGCUGACGGACAGAUCCGACGUCUUUUCGUUUGGGGUGGUGCUCUUGGAGCUUAUCACUGGGCGGAAGCCCGUAGAUUCGUCUCAACCCCUAGGAGAAGAAAGCUUAGUUGAAUGGGCUCGGCCUCUCCUGGUGGAUGCGCUGGAGACGGACGACUUCAGGGAAAUCGCCGACCCUGCCCUUGAGUGCAGGUACUCCAAGACCGAGAUGCGGAGGAUGGUGGAGGCGGCUGCCGCUUGCAUUCGCCACUCUGUCACCAAGAGACCGAGGAUGGUGCAGGUGUGGCGAUCGCUGGACGUGGACGGCGGCUCGACGGACCUGACCAACGGCGUCAAGCUCGGGCACAGCACCGCGUACGACUCAGGGCAGUACUCGGCGGACAUCGAGCUCUUCCGGCGGAUGGGGUUCGAGGCCGACCUCGACACCGCGGAGUACGGCUUGUCCGACCAGGACGAGCUGCCGCCUGGUUCCGGGAGGCAACAACGGACAGCAGCUGGACGGUGA
This 2097-nucleotide ribosomal RNA is filed under the name Triticum aestivum (bread wheat). RNAcentral's name for it is "partial small subunit ribosomal RNA". The record is from RNAcentral. Lineage: Eukaryota; Viridiplantae; Streptophyta; Magnoliopsida; Poales; Poaceae.